GAUGUGCGGGUAUCAUUCGGGUAGAGGGGUAGGUGGUAGUGUAGUGACAACUCUAUCAUCCUUUGCAUUCCCCCACGAUCAGGUAUUCGUAUAGGAGUUCUGUAAAGUCUUUAUUGGCUGGAUAUCCAGCUGCGGGGAUCUCCCCUCAUCUCAGGCUUAGUUCUAACUCUAUUUAUUGCUAAUUAGAUAAUCCGCUAACAGUUCUAUGCAUAGUUAUAUGUGACCCGUGCCUGCUCAAUAGAUUUAUUUCUUUAUUCUUUAUUUAUUAUUUCUCUUUUAUUUUAUCCUUG
Molecule: long non-coding RNA, 290 nt
Filed under: Sorghum bicolor (sorghum)
Lineage: Eukaryota; Viridiplantae; Streptophyta; Magnoliopsida; Poales; Poaceae
Description: long non-coding RNA (SBIC_LNC008415)
Source: RNAcentral